RNAcentral lists this transfer RNA (33 nucleotides) under Coffea arabica (coffee). RNAcentral's name for it is "partial tRNA-Leu". The record is from RNAcentral. Lineage: Eukaryota; Viridiplantae; Streptophyta; Magnoliopsida; Gentianales; Rubiaceae.
GGGGAUAUGGCGAAAUCGGUAGACGCUACGGAC